Molecule: ribosomal RNA, 492 nt
Filed under: uncultured bacterium
Lineage: Bacteria
Description: partial 16S ribosomal RNA
Rfam family: Bacterial small subunit ribosomal RNA
Source: RNAcentral
AAUGAACGCUGGCGGCAUGCCUAACACAUGCAAGUCGAACGGACGCACAGUAAGCUUUCUCUCUUACGGUUGGCGGUGGACGGGUGAGUGACGCAUAGAUCACCAUCUGCUUUUUCUUGGGUAAUAACGGGGAACAGCAUCCACUACUACAGCAUACAAUCAACCGCUUGAAUCAAUAGUUCUUCGCCCCUUUCCCGAUUGUUUGAGCCGAUGCCGCAUUAGCUUGUUGGCGGGGUAAAGGCCCACCAAGGCGACGAUCCGUAGCUUGUCUGAGCGGAUGAUCAGCCACACUGGAACUGAGACACGGUCCAGACUCCUACGGGAGGCAGCAGUGGGGAAUAUUCCACAAUGGGCGCAAGCCUGACGCAGCAACACCGCGUGGGUGAUGAAGGCCUUCGGGUCGUAAAGCUCUGUUAUUGGGAAAGAAAAGCAGUAUAAGAAUCCCUGGACGUCCUGACGGUACCUAAACAAAAAGCAACGGCUAACUUCGUG